Molecule: transfer RNA, 49 nt
Filed under: Salix fragilis
Lineage: Eukaryota; Viridiplantae; Streptophyta; Magnoliopsida; Malpighiales; Salicaceae
Also listed under: 1 other name
Description: partial transfer RNA-Leu
Source: RNAcentral
CGAAAUCGGUAGACGCUACGGACUUAAAAUCCGUCGACUUUAUAAAUCG